CCUACGGGAGGCAGCAGUGAGGAAUAUUGGUCAAUGGUCGGGAGACUGAACCAGCCAAGCCGCGUGAGGGAUGAAGGUACAGAGUAUCGUAAACCUCUUUUGUCAGGGAACAAAGGCGGUGACGUGUCCCCGGAUGAGUGUACCUGAAGAAAAAGCAUCGGCUAACUCCGUGCCAGCAGCCGCGGUAAUACGGAGGAUGCGAGCGUUAUCCGGUUUUAGUGGGUUUAAAGGGUGCGCAGGCGGUCUGUUAAGUCCGCGUGCAAAGCCCGGGGCUCAACCCCGGCCCGCCGUUGAACCUGGCAGUCUCGAGUUGGAGAGAAGUAUGCGGAAUGCGCGGUGUAGCGGUGAAAUGCAUAGAUAUCGCGCAGAACUCCGAUUGCGAAGGCAGCAUGCCGGCUCCACACUGACGCUGAGGCACGAAAGCGUGGGUAUCGAACAGGAUUAGAUACCCGGGUAGUC
This 459-nucleotide ribosomal RNA is filed under the name uncultured bacterium. RNAcentral's name for it is "partial 16S ribosomal RNA". It matches the Rfam family "Bacterial small subunit ribosomal RNA", at positions 338 to 795 of the family's 1533-position model. The record is from RNAcentral.